Molecule: transfer RNA, 72 nt
Filed under: Ornithorhynchus anatinus (platypus)
Lineage: Eukaryota; Metazoa; Chordata; Mammalia; Monotremata; Ornithorhynchidae
Rfam family: tRNA
About the family: Transfer RNA (tRNA) molecules are approximately 80 nucleotides in length. Their secondary structure includes four short double-helical elements and three loops (D, anti-codon, and T loops).
Source: Rfam by way of RNAcentral
AGCAGAGUGGCUUAGUGAAAAGAGCCCGGGCUUGGGAGUCAGAGGUCGUGGGUUCUAAUCCUACCUCGGCCA